This 305-nucleotide ribosomal RNA is filed under the name uncultured bacterium. RNAcentral's name for it is "bacterial SSU rRNA". It matches the Rfam family "Bacterial small subunit ribosomal RNA", at positions 334 to 656 of the family's 1533-position model. The record is from RNAcentral.
GGACCCUACGGGGCGCAGCAGUGGGGAAUAUUGCACAAUGGGGGAAACCCUGAUGCAGCAACGCCGCGUGAGUGAAGAGGUCAUUCGUGAUGUAAAGCUCUAUCAGCAGGGAAGAAAAUGACGGUACCUGAGUAAGAAGCCCCGGCUAACCACGUGCCAGCAGCCGCGGUAAUACGUAGGGGGCAAGCGUUAUCCGGAUUUACUGGGUGUAAAGGGAGCGUAGACGGCCAGACAGGUCUGAAGUGAAAAUCCAGCGCUUAACGUUGGAAGUGCUUGGGAAACUGCCGGGAUAGAUUGCAGGAGGG